This 497-nucleotide ribosomal RNA is filed under the name uncultured bacterium. RNAcentral's name for it is "partial 16S ribosomal RNA". It matches the Rfam family "Bacterial small subunit ribosomal RNA", at positions 28 to 507 of the family's 1533-position model. The record is from RNAcentral.
GACGAACGCUGGCGGCGUGCCUAAUACAUGCAAGUUGAGCGCUGAAGGUUGGUACUUGUACCAACUGGAUGAGCAGCGAACGGGUGAGUAACGCGUGGGGAAUCUGCCUUUGAGCGGGGGACAACAUUUGGAAACGAAUGCUAAUACCGCAUAAAAACUUUAAACACAAGUUUUAAGUUUGAAAGAUGCAAUUGCAUCACUCAAAGAUGAUCCCGCGUUGUAUUAGCUAGUUUGUGAGGUAAAGGCUCACCAAGGCGAUGAUACAUAGCCGACCUGAGAGGGUGAUCGGCCACAUUGGGAAUGAGACACGGCCCAAACUCCUACGGGAGGCAGCAGUAGGGAAUCUUCGGCAAUGGACGAAAGUCUGACCGAGCAACGCCGCGGGAGGGAAGAAGGGUUUCGGAUCGUAAAACUCUGUUGGUAGAGAAGAACGUUGGUGAGAGUGGAAAGCUCAUCAAGUGACGGUAACUACCCAGAAAGGGACGGCUAACUACGUG